This is a long non-coding RNA of Arvicola amphibius (Eurasian water vole), 1557 nucleotides long. RefSeq lists it as uncharacterized. The transcript is spliced from 4 exons. The record is from RefSeq and is a predicted model, not a curated record. Lineage: Eukaryota; Metazoa; Chordata; Mammalia; Rodentia; Cricetidae.
GCUAGGGGCUGGGCUUCCGUGAGGGCGUGUUCCUUCACGAGUGCGUCUGGAGACUUUUACUUACUGGGUUUAGACCCAACCCUGCGCGCUCGAGUUCAGUCAGGCUCAACCGCAAUUUAAAGACAAAAUUCACCAAGAUGAUGUCAGUACAGCUAGUGAAAUGGAGCAUACCUCCUCAGCCCCUCGGCCUCUAGAAGCUAGACUGCCAAGGGUCUGCGUACAGAAGCUAACGGAACUCAGAAAGACACGACAAGAGCAGAAAUGCUGAGAAAAAUCUAAAAGGUGCUCGACAACAUGGCAUGCUUCUGCUGAAAAUCCCACUGGUCACCUCCAGCAAAUCUGACAGAUGAGAGAGCUGUGCUGCUGGCACACUAAGUGGAGGGGCUGCAGAGACGGCUCACUUGUUAGGUGCUUGCCAUGUGAGAAUGAAGAUCUGGAUUCUGCUCCCCAGUACGUGGAAAGCCAGGCAUGGCAGCAUGUGCCCACAGUGCCAGGACUGAGAGGGCAGAGGCGGGAAGAAACCUGAAGCUUGCUGCCAGCCAGUUUAGCUCAGCCAGUGAGCUCCAGGUUGACUGCCUCAAGAAUGAAGACGGAGGGGGCUGGAGAGAUGGCUCAGUGGUUAAGAGCACUGACUGCUCUUCCAGAGGUCCUGAGUUCAAUUCCCAGCAACCACGUGGUGGCUCACAACCAUCUGUAAUGAGACCCGGUGCCCCCUUCUGGCCUGCGGGCACACAUGGAAGGAAUGCUGCACACAUAAUAAAUAAAUAGAUCUUUAAAAAAAAAAAAAAAGAAUGAAGAUGGAGAACUACUGAGAAGACUCUACGGGUUGACCUAUGGCCUCUACAUGUACCACACAGGCACACACGAGUGGGGUGGGAAGAAGCUGACUGAAAGCACUGUGAUGUGCUAGAACUUUCUGGGGCCUGCGAGGAGUGCUUAGAGCUCUGCCCCAGAUGAGAGGAAAUGGAAUUCCAUCUCCUCUGCAAACUCCAGGGUGAGUAUUCUUAGAAUCCAGCUUCUGCUGGCAAAACACACCUCAUCUGGAGGGUGCCACACCAGGUUGCCUGGUUUCUGGGCCAGCCAUGUAUGGAAAAAAUGUGAGGGAUGUUUUAGCCAUUAAAAUGAACUCCCCCUAGUAAUUAGGUAUUUUCUGGUUAAUGAGAUAGAGCAGUUCCAACAGAGACAAUAAUUGCUUCCAAUGAUUUAAGGAGUGGUGAGCUUAAUUAUUUUAUCCAGGGUUUGGAAACAGACACAAGCAGAUCAUAGCUAUGGAUGUUACUGUCUAGGCAGCUCACCGUGGCUACUGGGAGCUGAGAUUAGAGCUUUCCAAACUUGAUGACUCUCACCUCAGGAACUCACAAAAACUGAGAUACACCUAGGCAGCAGGCACUUCCAUUGGUAAUGCCUCUUUUGCCCCACUCCCUCUUAAGGCUGGGUCUUACCAUGUUGCCUUGGCUGGCCUGCAACUCUCUAUGUAGACCAGGCUGGCCUAAAACUCAUACAAAUGUAUCUGCCUCUGCUUCCUGUGUGCUGAAAUUAAAGAUAUGCACCACCAUA